This is a long non-coding RNA of Myotis brandtii (Brandt's bat), 286 nucleotides long. RefSeq lists it as uncharacterized. The record is from RefSeq and is a predicted model, not a curated record. The transcript has 3 exons. NCBI's taxonomy places the organism in Eukaryota, Metazoa, Chordata, Mammalia, Chiroptera, Vespertilionidae.
CCCGAUCGCGGCCCGCAUGCGUCUGACGGCAGGAGGUAGGAGCCGGCGCAGGACCGAGAGGGGCAGUUGAGAGCUCGGUGCUUGGCAGCCAGACAGGAUGGGGCCACGUGCUCAAGGAGAACCACCUGGUUCAAGUCUGAUGGGGCUCCUGUGGACCAGCCCGGCGGUGCCGCCUCGGGUCGAGAGCAGAGCGCGUGGAACGGGCUGCCUGGCUCACAUCACAGCAGACGGACAGACAGACAGACGCACCUUGUGCUGCUGGUCGCAGCAUCUCCUGCGGGCGGGC